CUGAACGUGACCGGCAGCGGACAGAGCAGAGCAGAACAGAGUAGAGCGGUGCGGAGCGGAGGACAAACAAAUUCAGAAAAACGAGUGAAAAUAUGAAGUAAAACCAACGUCUGGAUCGUCGCUUCGUCGCGUUGGUUUGUUAGAACGUGGAGAAACUUCAUUACUGUACGAGCCACGGUGUUAAAAACAAGCGUUGGAGCCGAGCACAGGUCUACUUGCAGCUGCUGCAUCCUGGAUGAAGACACCAACAUCACCUCACAGACCAUACAGGUGUCACCACUUCGUCCACGACAUCGUCCACAAUUGAUGAGACGUCGUCCAUGAUCGGAGAGACAUUGUUGAGGAUGAGGGAGACAUCGUCCACGAUCAGAGACAUUGUCCAUGACUCGUGGUGACUCGGUCCCCGAUAAGUCGGCAUUGCCGGCGUUCAUGGAGACAUUGUCAAUGAUCGCAGAGACUUUGUCCAUAAUCUCAGAAACAUUGUCCGCGAUCACAGAGACGUCGUCCAUGAUCACAGAGACAUGGUCUACGAUCGGAGAGACAUUGUUGAGGAUGAGGGAGACAUCGUCCACGUUCAGAGACGUUGUCCAUGAUCGCAGAGACCUUGUCAAAGAUGAAAGAGACGUUGUCCAUGGUCAGAGACAUUGUCGCUGCUUCGCAGAGCUCUGCGCAAGAAUCGGUAGUGACACUGUGGUUCCUCGAUUCGACGGCAUGACCGCGAUCAGCUGACAUUGUUAAUGAUCACAGAGAAACAGUCUAUCAUCAGAGACUUGGUCCACGAUCACAGACACAUUGUCAAUGAUCGCUGAGACUUUGUCCAUAAUCUCAGAGACAUUGUCCGCGAUCACAGAGACGUAGUCCACGAUCACAGAAGACCAGGUGUCACCACUUCGUCCACGACAUCGUCCCCAAUCGCUGAGACGUCGUCCAUGAUCGGAGAGACAUUGUUGAGGAUGAGGGAGACAUCGUCCACGAUCAGAGACAUUGUCCAUGACUCGUGGUGACUCGGUCCCCGAUUAGUCGGCAUUGCCGGCGUUCAUGGAGACAUUGUCGAUGAUCGCAGAGACUUUGUCUAUAAUCUCAGAGACAUUGUCCGCGAUCGCUGAGAGUCUUCGUACAGUGACGUUCUUUGAGACCAGGACAGAGGCCUCCAGGUGUCACCACUUCGUCCACGACAUCGUCCACAAUUGAUGAGACGUCGUCCAUGAUCGGAGAGACAUUGUUGAGGAUGAGGGAGACAUCGUCCACGAUCAGAGACAUUGUCCAUGACUCGUGGUGACUCGGUCCCCGAUAAGUCGGCAUUGCCGGCGUUCAUGGAGAUAUUGUCAAUGAUCGCAGAGACUUUGUCUAUAAUCUCAGAAACAUUGUCCGCGAUCACAGAGACGUCGUCCAUGAUCACAGAGACAUGGUCUACGAUCGGAGAGACAUUGUUGAGGAUGAGGGAGACAUCGUCCACGUUCAGAGACGUUGUCCAUGAUCGCAGAGACCUUGUCAAAGAUGAAAGAGACGUUGUCCAUGGUCAGAGACAUUGUCGCUGCUUCGCAGAGCUCUGCGCAAGAAUCGGUAGUGACACUGUGGUUCCUCGAUUCGACGGCAUGACCGCGAUCAGCUGACAUUGUUAAUGAUCACAGAGAAACAGUCUAUCAUCAGAGACUUGGUCCACGAUCACAGACACAUUGUCAAUGAUCGCUGAGACUUUGUCCAUAAUCUCAGAGACAUUGUCCGCGAUCACAGAGACGUAGUCCACGAUCACAGAAGACCAGGUGUCACCACUUCGUCCACGACAUCGUCCCCAAUCGCUGAGACGUCGUCCAUGAUCGGAGAGACAUUGUUGAGGAUGAGGGAGACAUCGUCCACGAUCAGAGACAUUGUCCAUGACUCGUGGUGACUCGGUCCCCGAUUAGUCGGCAUUGCCGGCGUUCAUGGAGACAUUGUCGAUGAUCGCAGAGACUUUGUCUAUAAUCUCAGAGACAUUGUCCGCGAUCGCUGAGAGUCUUCGUACAGUGACGUUCUUUGAGACCAGGACAGAGGCCUCCAGGUGUCACCACUUCGUCCACGACAUCGUCCACAAUUGAUGAGACGUCGUCCAUGAUCGGAGAGACAUUGUUGAGGAUGAGGGAGACAUCGUCCACGAUCAGAGACAUUGUCCAUGACUCGUGGUGACUCGGUCCCCGAUAAGUCGGCAUUGCCGGCGUUCAUGGAGAUAUUGUCAAUGAUCGCAGAGACUUUGUCUAUAAUCUCAGAAACAUUGUCCGCGAUCACAGAGACGUCGUCCAUGAUCACAGAGACAUGGUCUACGAUCGGAGAGACAUUGUUGAGGAUGAGGGAGACAUCGUCCACGUUCAGAGACGUUGUCCAUGAUCGCAGAGACCUUGUCAAAGAUGAAAGAGACGUUGUCCAUGGUCAGAGACAUUGUCGCUGCUUUGCAGAGCUCUGCGCAAGAAUCGGUAGUGACACUGUGGUUCCUCGAUUCGACGGCAUGACCGCGAUCAGCUGACAUUGUUAAUGAUCACAGAGUAACAGUCUAUCAUCAGAGACUUGGUCCACGAUCACAGACACAUUGUCAAUGAUCGCUGAGACUUUGUCCAUAAUCUCAGAGACAUUGUCCGCGAUCACAGAGACGUAGUCCACGAUCACAGAAGACCAGGUGUCACCACUUCGUCCACGACAUCGUCCCCAAUCGCUGAGACGUCGUCCAUGAUCGGAGAGACAUUGUUGAGGAUGAGGGAGACAUCGUCCACGAUCAGAGACAUUGUCCAUGACUCGUGGUGACUCGGUCCCCGAUUAGUCGGCAUUGCCGGCGUUCAUGGAGACAUUGUCGAUGAUCGCAGAGACUUUGUCUAUAAUCUCAGAGACAUUGUCCGCGAUCGCUGAGAGUCUUCGUACAGUGACGUUCUUUGAGACCAGGACAGAGGCCUCCAGGUGUCACCACUUCGUCCACGACAUCGUCCACAAUUGAUGAGACGUCGUCCAUGAUCGGAGAGACAUUGUUGAGGAUGAGGGAGACAUCGUCCACGAUCAGAGACAUUGUCCAUGACUCGUGGUGACUCGGUCCCCGAUAAGUCGGCAUUGCCGGCGUUCAUGGAGAUAUUGUCAAUGAUCGCAGAGACUUUGUCUAUAAUCUCAGAAACAUUGUCCGCGAUCACAGAGACGUCGUCCAUGAUCACAGAGACAUGGUCUACGAUCGGAGAGACAUUGUUGAGGAUGAGGGAGACAUCGUCCACGUUCAGAGACGUUGUCCAUGAUCGCAGAGACCUUGUCAAAGAUGAAAGAGACGUUGUCCAUGGUCAGAGACAUUGUCGCUGCUUCGCAGAGCUCUGCGCAAGAAUCGGUAGUGACACUGUGGUUCCUCGAUUCGACGGCAUGACCGCGAUCAGCUGACAUUGUUAAUGAUCACAGAGUAACAGUCUAUCAUCAGAGACUUGGUCCACGAUCACAGACACAUUGUCAAUGAUCGCUGAGACUUUGUCCAUAAUCUCAGAGACAUUGUCCGCGAUCACAGAGACGUAGUCCACGAUCACAGAAGACCAGGUGUCACCACUUCGUCCACGACAUCGUCCCCAAUCGCUGAGACGUCGUCCAUGAUCGGAGAGACAUUGUUGAGGAUGAGGGAGACAUCGUCCACGAUCAGAGACAUUGUCCAUGACUCGUGGUGACUCGGUCCCCGAUUAGUCGGCAUUGCCGGCGUUCAUGGAGACAUUGUCGAUGAUCGCAGAGACUUUGUCUAUAAUCUCAGAGACAUUGUCCGCGAUCGCUGAGAGUCUUCGUACAAUGACGUUCUUUGAGACCAGGACAGAGGCCUCCAGGUGUCACCACUUCGUCCACGACAUCGUCCACAAUUGAUGAGACGUCGUCCAUGAUCGGAGAGACAUUGUUGAGGAUGAGGGAGACAUCGUCCACGAUCAGAGACAUUGUCCAUGACUCGUGGUGACUCGGUCCCCGAUAAGUCGGCAUUGCCGGCGUUCAUGGAGACAUUGUCAAUGAUCGCAGAGACUUUGUCUAUAAUCUCAGAAACAUUGUCCACGAUCACAGAGACGUCGUCCAUGAUCACAGAGACAUGGUCUACGAUCGGAGAGACAUUGUUGAGGAUGAGGGAGACAUCGUCCACGUUCAGAGACGUUGUCCAUGAUCGCAGAGACCUUGUCAAAGAUGAAAGAGACGUUGUCCAUGGUCAGAGACAUUGUCGCUGCUUCGCAGAGCUCUGCGCAAGAAUCGGUAGUGACACUGUGGUUCCUCGAUUCGACGGCAUGACCGCGAUCAGCUGACAUUGUUAAUGAUCACAGAGAAACAGUCUAUCAUCAGAGACUUGGUCCACGAUCACAGACACAUUGUCAAUGAUCGCUGAGACUUUGUCCAUAAUCUCAGAGACAUUGUCCGCGAUCACAGAGACGUAGUCCACGAUCACAGAAGACCAGGUGUCACCACUUCGUCCACGACAUCGUCCCCAAUCGCUGAGACGUCGUCCAUGAUCGGAGAGACAUUGUUGAGGAUGAGGGAGACAUCGUCCACGAUCAGAGACAUUGUCCAUGACUCGUGGUGACUCGGUCCCCGAUUAGUCGGCAUUGCCGGCGUUCAUGGAGACAUUGUCGAUGAUCGCAGAGACUUUGUCUAUAAUCUCAGAGACAGUGUCCGCGAUCACAGAGACGUUGUCCAUGAUCACAGAGAGUCUUCGUACAAUGAAGUUCUUUUAGACCAGGACAGAGGCCUCCAGGAGAAGAAGAGUGAAGAAGAGACAACAAAAGUUAAAUGUUCUUCAAGAUGUUUAGAGAUGUAUAAGACUGUAAUAAGUAUAUCCUCAUAUGUGCUCAUCACUCCAUUAAACUUUGGAUGAGAGAAUAAAUUAAAAGUGUUUCCAAGUGGUCAAACAUUGGACAUUGUCUUUGCCAUGGUUUGCUAAAUGUUGUCCAGAACAAAAUCAAUAAAGUUGUUCUGCUUAA
Long non-coding RNA from Lates calcarifer (barramundi perch), 4937 nucleotides. RefSeq lists it as uncharacterized. NCBI's taxonomy places the organism in Eukaryota, Metazoa, Chordata, Actinopteri, Centropomidae. The transcript is spliced from 8 exons. The record is from RefSeq and is a predicted model, not a curated record.